UACAAGAGUGAAAUAUCAACAAAAAGAUUAUCCAUAUUGAGGUGCUGUACUGGAGGGAUAAGGAAAGAAAAGAAAGUGAUGUUUAUGAUUUGACUGAAAGGGAGAUUAACACAGACAUAAAAGAGGGCUUUCUAUUUAUCAAUGACACAACCAAAUUUGACCACUGUUACGCAGCUUCUUGACCACAUUUUCAGUCAGUGUGGAUUGCAAUGCUAUACUCAACAGGUCAGACAACAAUUAAAAUACAACUUACAGAUACCACAAUUUGAGAAAAAGACUAUAGGAGGUGGAAUAGCUACAUGGCAUGAUCACGGAUUGACCGAUAGAAAAAGAUUUCCAUUGUUUUUAAAUAGAAGGACAACAGCCCUUUGGGUGUAUGUUGCAUUAUAACAGUGUUUUUUUCGGAUUCCUUAUGUUCCACAUAUUAUUUAGUCAACAAUGAUGUCAAAUAUUACCUUACAUGGAACGGAACAUUACCU
This is a long non-coding RNA of Saccostrea echinata, 479 nucleotides long. RefSeq lists it as uncharacterized. The record is from RefSeq and is a predicted model, not a curated record. NCBI's taxonomy places the organism in Eukaryota, Metazoa, Mollusca, Bivalvia, Ostreida, Ostreidae. The transcript is spliced from 5 exons.